AGGAGCUUACAUGUCAAGGACAGAACUGUGUCAUGUGAUCUCUGGCUGCAGUGGAGGGGACACGGGUUCAAUCCCUGGUCUGGGAAGAUCCCACAUGCCGUGGAGCAACUAAGCCCGUGCGCCACAACUACUGAGCCUGCGCUCUAGAGCCCAUCAACCACAACUACUGAGCCUGCAUGACACAACUACUGAAGCCUGCGUGCCUAGAGCCUGUGCUCUGCAACAAGAGAAGCCACUGCAAUUAGAAGCUUAUGCACCGCAACAAAGAGUAGCCCCCGCUCUCCACAACUAGAGAAAGCCCGUGGGCAGCAAAGAAGCUUAUUGGGUUUCCCUUCAAACACCUGUGAUUCAGAUUGCCAGAAGCUGUUACCCCUUAUACCCAUGAAGCGUGGCCCACCAG
This is a long non-coding RNA of Physeter macrocephalus (sperm whale), 400 nucleotides long. RefSeq lists it as uncharacterized. The record is from RefSeq and is a predicted model, not a curated record. The transcript is spliced from 3 exons. Lineage: Eukaryota; Metazoa; Chordata; Mammalia; Artiodactyla; Physeteridae.